UGGGGAAUAUUGCACAAUGGGCGCAAGCCUGAUGCAGCCAUGCCGCGUGUAUGAAGAAGGCCUUCGGGUUGUAAAGUACUUUCAGCGGGGAGGAAGGGAGUAAAGUUAAUACCUUUGCUCAUUGACGUUACCCGCAGAAGAAGCACCGGCUAACUCCGUGCCAGCAGCCGCGGUAAUACGGAGGGUGCAAGCGUUAAUCGGAAUUACCGGGCGUAAAGCGCACGCAGGCGGUUUGUUAAGUCAGAUGUGAAAUCCCCGGGCUCAACCUGGGAACUGCAUCUGAUACUGGUCAGCUAGAGUCUUGUAGAGGGGGGUAGAAUUCCAUGUGUAGCGGUGAAAUGCGUAGAGAUGUGGAGGAAUACCGGUGGCGAAGGCGGCCCCCUGGACAAAGACUGACGCUCAGGUGCGAAAGCGUGGGGAGCAAACAGG
Molecule: ribosomal RNA, 429 nt
Filed under: Chloroflexota bacterium
Lineage: Bacteria; Bacillati; Chloroflexota
Description: Chloroflexi bacterium partial 16S ribosomal RNA
Rfam family: Bacterial small subunit ribosomal RNA
Source: RNAcentral